UGGCAAGAAAGAGAUCGAGAGACGAUUCAAUUGAGGCAGAGUCAUUUUCUUUCUUCUUCUUUCGACCCCUUCUCAGUUUUCCAGUGGAGGCAGCAAGUCUAUUUUCCAUUACGAUUACGGAAAAAAGCUCUUCUUCACACGGCCAGAGGCCAUCUUCUCUUCUACCUCCAGCUACCCCUCCCCCUCCCCUCUACAUAAACACAGGAUUUGGAAACCCCUCUCUUCAUUCACACAGUCACCAUGGCUAACCACUGGUCACCACUCUUUGAUAAAGUGUUCUCUUGUAAUGAUUUGAGGAAUAGAGUCAUAAAACUAGUUUUUGGAGGCAAGAGUAUAGGGCUUUUGUUAGCUCCAUUCCCGAUUUCGACCGUCCCCUCCUUUUAAACUGAGCCUUAUUUUCAAAGGAGAGCGUCUGAUAAAGCCCAAUUUGUGCUCCACCUAGCAGAUGAAACUGGGUGAGGUCAUCAUUUUGAUCCAUCUGGGACUGGGGGCUAAGAGCCGGCUGCAGCUUAAUUUCAAGCAGGUUGUCAACCCAAGACAACCUGCUUGAAAUUAAGCUGUAGCCGCUCUUAGCCCCAGUAUCAGAUGGAUCUAAAUGAUGAUCACCUAGUUUCAUCUGCUGGCAGAGAGACAAAUCACCCAGGAUGAGAUUAGUUCCAAAGAAUUACACCUCCCGCAAAUGGAUGUGAGGCGCUUCUAUGACAUCUGUCCAAAAAGCCAUUAAUAAUGGCUCGCCGCCCAUUAUUAAUGGCCGGCGUUCAUGAGGCCAGAAGACGCUGAGCCUUCCCUUACGGUGUUUACAAUCUAAACGUCUCACCGGAAUAUGGCGCUGAGGAGGGACAGCUAAAACUGGAAGAGUGCAUCGUUUACAUCCAGCCGGCUGCAGCCUAAGUUGAAGCAGUUUGUCAACCCACCUGUAAUAGGCCUCAAUCCUGCGAUGAGGACUAAAAUCCAAGUCUUCGGGGAGGUGCAGCACAAAUUUGGGUUUAUCAUCUUUGCGAGAAAAGACCAACAGGCACUCUCGUAUUGAGACUCGGUUCAAAGGGAUCAUUGAAAACCCAUAUACUCUUGCCUCCAAGAAGUUGUUAUAACUCUUAUCGUCUUUAGCAGACAACACUCGGUGACCA
This is a long non-coding RNA of Corylus avellana, 1127 nucleotides long. RefSeq lists it as uncharacterized. Lineage: Eukaryota; Viridiplantae; Streptophyta; Magnoliopsida; Fagales; Betulaceae. The record is from RefSeq and is a predicted model, not a curated record.